UACGUAGGGUGCAAGCGUUGUCCGGAAUUAUUGGGCGUAAAGAGCUCGUAGGCGGUCUGUCGCGUCGGCUGUGAAAACUCGGGGCUCAACCCCGAGCCUGCAGUCGAUACGGGCAGACUAGAGUGCGGUAGGGGAGACUGGAAUUCCUGGUGUAGCGGUGAAAUGCGCAGAUAUCAGGAGGAACACCGGUGGCGAAGGCGGGUCUCUGGGCCGUAACUGACGCUGAGACGCGAAAGCGUGGGGAGCAAACAGG
This 253-nucleotide ribosomal RNA is filed under the name uncultured bacterium. Its description in RNAcentral is "partial 16S ribosomal RNA". It matches the Rfam family "Bacterial small subunit ribosomal RNA", at positions 524 to 776 of the family's 1533-position model. The record is from RNAcentral.